UUGGUCGACAAAGUGCGCGAAAUCGAGGCUAUAAAGUUAAACGAAGAUUUUGUGCGGAAGAAAUACGAAAAGUCUGAGCAGGCGUUAGUAGCAACAGUGGGUGCAUCCUUUCCGAAGGGCCCCAGUCGCAAAUUUGAUUAUAAGCCUCAGAGGGUUUCACAAAACUACGGUGGCAGGUCUUUCAGAGGCAGUUUCCGAGCCCAACGAACUGGACAGAUCUAUGCUGGCAGCAGUCCAUCGUUCCGAUCAACACGUGGAGAAAAAUGCUGGCGUUGCCACAGCCCGUAUCAUGGAGGUAAUGAUUGCAGCCACAAAGAUAAAAGGUGUAAUUAUUGUGGCAUUCUUGGUCAUAUCCAACGAGCUUGCCGCUCGCAUCGUCAUGUGUCAGGAGUCAAGCGUCCAACUGACUUGAUGGAAGACGCGCCCCAGACACGGAAGAUAGCCGCAAUCGAAGAGGUUAAAGAUGAUGCAGAAUCUGAUCAAACAGUAAGUGAACCCAAUGGUUUUUAAAUUCCUCUUUUUUUCUCAUUUGAAUUCGCUUAUCGGUACCUAAAAUGAGAAUAGAAUAACGAAAAGUUAAAGACCAGAGAACAAAGUUAAAUUUAACUGAAAUGUUGGAGUUCCCUUUUCCUUUUUUAUUUUAAUCAGUUACUGAUCAUUAAAAAUCAAUAUGUAUGAGAUCAACGUGUAAGAAAAAAAAAACAAAUAAAGAAAUCUAUGAAACGCAUUAUAUGUUUUUAUAGACACAUCUGAAGCCGGAACGAGCCAUAAGACAAAUCGCAAAUGCACCUCAUGUUAACAAAAUUCCGAUCAGUAACAGAGAAGAGACAAGACAGAAAUCCGUACGAAUAGCGAUCGAAACGGCGAACAUUUUGGAUAACAAGAGUGGUUUGCUAAAGUCAUCCAAAAAUGCUUCAAACUCAACCGCAGAAAAUGAUUUGAAUGCUCAGAACAGCGGAAACGAACAGAACCAUACUGAGCCCACGAAAACAGAAACCUCCGGGCUCAGUACGGUGUUUCACAUAGCAUCAAAUUGUCAACGUAUUGGCGUAGAUGAGGCUAUAAUCACUGCUACAGUAUCAGGAAUGCCGUGCGGUUUCAUGAUUGAUUCAGGGGCGCAAGUAAACACAUUUACUGAGGAUAUGUUUAAGCAAC
Aedes aegypti (yellow fever mosquito) is the source of this 1155-nucleotide long non-coding RNA. RefSeq lists it as uncharacterized. The transcript is spliced from 3 exons. The record is from RefSeq and is a predicted model, not a curated record. Lineage: Eukaryota; Metazoa; Arthropoda; Insecta; Diptera; Culicidae.